GACGAACGCUGGCGGCGUGCUUAACACAUGCAAGUCGAACGGUAAGGCGCUUCUUUUGUGGGGUGCUCGGGUGGAGAACGGAAGAGUAACGCGAGAGUUACGUGACCUUGCCUUUGGGAUAACUUAAGGACACUGAGGCUAAUACCGGAUAGGAGCUCCUGCUUCUUGGUGAGGGUUGGUCAGGUGCGGCGGUUGGGGCUGGGCGCGCGGCUCAUGAGGCUGUUGGGGGGGUUGUGGCUUACAAGGGCUUUGACGGGUGGCCGGUCUGAGAGGGUGACCGGCCACAUUGGGACUGAUAUGCGGCCCAGACUCCUACGGGAUGCAGCAGUGGGGAAUAGUGUACAGUGGGCGGAAGCCGUAUGCAGUAACGCCGUGCGGGUUGUGACGGCCUUCGGGUUGUAAACCGCGUUCGCCUGGGAUGAAGCGUGAGUGACGGUAAUUGGUAAAGAAGCACCGGCUAACUACGUG
This 468-nucleotide ribosomal RNA is filed under the name uncultured bacterium. Its description in RNAcentral is "partial 16S ribosomal RNA". It matches the Rfam family "Bacterial small subunit ribosomal RNA", at positions 28 to 507 of the family's 1533-position model. The record is from RNAcentral.